This 246-nucleotide ribosomal RNA is filed under the name uncultured bacterium. Its description in RNAcentral is "partial 16S ribosomal RNA". It matches the Rfam family "Bacterial small subunit ribosomal RNA", at positions 523 to 769 of the family's 1533-position model. The record is from RNAcentral.
AUACGUAGGGGGCAAGCGUUGUCCGGAAUUAUUGGGCGUAAAGGGCGCGUAGGCGGCUGUAUAAGUCUGAUGUGAAAGUGCGGAGCUUAACUCCGUAAAGCAUUGGAAACUGUACGGCUUGAGGACAGGAGAGGAAAGUGGAAUUCCACGUGUAGCGGUGAAAUGCGUAGAUAUGUGGAGGAACACCAGUGGCGAAGGCGACUUUCUGGACUGUAACUGACGCUGAGGCGCGAAAGCGUGGGGAGC